AGCUUUGUGCGGUGGCAGUAUCGUAGCCAAUGAGGUUUAUCCAAGGCAUGAUUAUUGCUAAUUGAAGAUACUUAUAAAUGGUAAAUAAUCAGGCUACUUUCCAAAAGUUCCACAGAAC
Small nuclear RNA from Panthera leo (lion), 118 nucleotides. Its record names the gene U4. It matches the Rfam family "U4 spliceosomal RNA". Rfam says of the family: U4 small nuclear RNA (U4 snRNA) is a component of the major U2-dependent spliceosome. The structure of U4 snRNA from yeast and human has been reported. NCBI's taxonomy places the organism in Eukaryota, Metazoa, Chordata, Mammalia, Carnivora, Felidae. The record is from Ensembl.